UAGACUACAUCCAAUUUGCUGAGUAGUGUUGGAGGCUAUGUUAUAAAUGACAUCGCCGAAGUCAAGGAUCGGUAGGAUAGUCUUUUUUACGAGGGUAUGUUUGGCAGCAUGAGUGAAGGAAUGCCAUUGCGAAAUAGGAAGCCGAUUCUAGAUUUAAUUUUGGAUUGGAGUUGCUUAAUGUGAGUCUGGAAGGAAAGUUUACAGUCUAACCAGACACCUAGGUAUUUGUAGUUGUCCACAUAUUCUAAGUCAGAACCAUCCAGGGUAGUGAUGCUGGACAGGCGGGCUGGUGCGGGCAGCGAUCGGUUGAAGAGCAUGCAUUUAGUUUUGCUUGCAUUUCAGAGCAGUUGGAGACCACGGAAGGAGAGUUGUAUGGCAUUGAAGCUCAUCUGGAGGUUUGUUAGCACGGUGUCCAAAGAAGGGCCAGAUGUAUACAGAAUGGUGUCGUCUGCGUAGAGGUGGAUCAGGGAAUCACCAGCAGCAUAAAUAAUAACUCAAUCUGGUAACUACUCUACUCUAUGGGAACUUGACUCGCUCUCAGUAAGAUGAGGAAGGUCAGUAACACUUUCUAUGAGGCAAAUAUACAAAUAAGGCAUUAUAGUGCAUUAUAAAACUUGCAUAAGCUGUCAUAACAACUCAUAAGUAGUUAUAACAUCAUAAUUUAGGAUCUUACUUAGGCCUACUCAAAACAAAUAACAACCAUUCAAAGUCGGCAUUGAGAGAGGUAAGAGGAAAGUAUUUUGUCAGGAUAUAAUCAUAUAACAUGCCAUGUGUCAUGUAACAGUGUGGACACUAGGUGUAAUGUAACAGUGUGGAUGCUAGGUGUAAUGUAACAGUGUGGACACUAGGUGUCAUGUAACAGUGUGGACACUAGGUGUAAUGUAACAGUGUGGACACCAGGUGUAAUGUAACAGUGUGGACACUAAGUGUAAUGUAACAGUGUGGAUGCCAGGUGUAAUGUAACAGUGUGGACACUAGGUGUAAUGUAACAGUGUGGACACUAGGUGUAAUGUAACAGUGUGGACACUAGGUGUAAUGUAACAGUGUGGAUGCCAGGUGUAAUGUAACAGUGUGGACGCCAGGUGUAAUGUAACAUUGUGGAUGCCAGGUGUAAUGUAAGUGUGGAUGCCAGGUGUAAUGUAACAUUGUGGAUGCCAGGUGUAAUGUAAGUGUGGAUGCCAGGUGUAAUGUAACAGUGUGGACGCUAGGUGUAGCAAUUGUCUCCCAUAUGGAAAUAACUCUGAACCAUGCCAAUGUUCUGCCAACCAUGUCUUGUCAAUAUCUCCUAGUUGUCUUAUGUGGGAUUUUCUUCAUCACUUUAGGGGACCUCUAUCUAACCACAGAGUUACCGCCCAGGGGUUCAUCGUUUGUUUUAUUCCUCUGCUAACAAGCAGGAUGUACACAUGGAAGGAGAAUAACUUUCACCCUAAUUGAUGUCACUAAUAAUAUCACACUCCAAAACAUGUAUGCUAACGAAAGCAAUGAAACGCUUCCUGGACAUGUCACGGUGGAAUACCUAAUCACUCACUCUAAACACUCCGAAUUACCAUCAGGAAUGACCAUCUGAAACAUAACUGAUCAAUUCAUCCAUAAUCAUGUGAUAAUCCAUAAACGUGCACCAUAUGGAUGACCCCUUUAACCAGACAGUUAUGUUUGAAAAACAUCUGUUUCAGGAAUGCCAGCUCAUCAAAAUAUGCAUGUUCAGCACAUCAUUCAUGACAUCAUCUGGAUGAUUACAUCUACAUAUAUCUUCAUUCUAAAGGACACAUAUCGAAACAAAUUGAAGUCUCUCCAUUUUAUGAUUACCUUCACACAAUCAUACACACAUUCUGUGUUUCACUUCUCAUCUGACAUAAUCUCUAUGCUCACUCUGAUCAGCACUGUGUAAUCUGUGUAAUCCAUCUCUGUUUAACUCACAUGCCUCCUCCUUCAUGCAGUACCCUGUGUGUGUCUGUAGGGGGUGCUGGCUCUGGUCCUGGUAGUGCUCUGCCUUAUGGGGGCCAGCCUGUGGUCCCUGCUGGGCUGUGGCCUGAUGGUGGGAAGUUGGGCGAGUACGGCCCAGAGCCCUAUGGGUUUGCAUAGCCUAUGGGGCUGGGGCAUGAUACUGGCCUGGGUAAAUACACUCUAAAGAGAGGGGAGGGUGAACAAAGGAAGAACAAGAGAAAAUAGAGGCAGAAAAAGGACUGAAAAAACUGAGUGGUCAGGAAAAAUAAAGAGGUAGAGAAAGGGUGAAAAGUAGAGAUGGAGAGAAGAGAAAGAUUAGACAAAGAAAAAAGCAAGUCCGUGAUGAACACUGAAGCAGCAACAGAGGGACUCAAAGGUCA
This is a long non-coding RNA of Oncorhynchus tshawytscha (Chinook salmon), 2324 nucleotides long. Lineage: Eukaryota; Metazoa; Chordata; Actinopteri; Salmoniformes; Salmonidae. The record is from Ensembl.